GGAACGAACGCUGGCGGCAUGCCUAAUACAUGCAAGUCGAACGAACUCUUCGGGGUUAGUGGCGCACGGGUGCGUAACGCGUGGGAAUCUGCCCCUUGGUUCGGAAUAACAGUUGGAAACGACUGCCAAUACCGGAUGAUGACGAAAGUCCAAAGAUUUAUCGCCAAGGGAUGAGCCCGCGUAGGAUUAGCUAGUUGGUGAGGUAAAGGCUCACCAAGGCAACGAUCCUUAGCUGGUCUGAGAGGAUGAUCAGCCACACUGGGACUGAGACACGGCCCAGACUCCUACGGGAGGCAGCAGUAGGGAAUAUUGGACAAUGGGCGAAAGCCUGAUCCAGCAAUGCCGCGUGAGUGAUGAAGGCCUUAGGUUGUAAAGCUCUUUACCGAGAUGAUAAUGACAGUAUCGGAGAAUAAGCCCGGCUAACUCCGCGCCAGCAGCCGC
Molecule: ribosomal RNA, 441 nt
Filed under: uncultured soil bacterium
Lineage: Bacteria
Description: bacterial SSU rRNA
Rfam family: Bacterial small subunit ribosomal RNA
Source: RNAcentral